RNAcentral lists this long non-coding RNA (1208 nucleotides) under Piliocolobus tephrosceles (Ugandan red Colobus). Its description in RNAcentral is "lncRNA (ENSPTEG00000013517.1)". The record is from RNAcentral. Lineage: Eukaryota; Metazoa; Chordata; Mammalia; Primates; Cercopithecidae.
AAAGAAAUACAAACAAAAAUUGAAGAAGCGAAAAAAGUAUUUACUGAGAAAGAAAAAAUAUUACAACAAAAAAUAGAAAACUUGAUAUAUAAAUUAGAGAAAUUAACAUUUCUGAAAGGAACAAAUCAUAGUAAACAUGGUGAGUUUGCCUUUGACAAUUGUAUUUACAAAAGUAAAACACAUGAUAAUAGUGUAUAUGAUAAUAGUGUACAUGAUAAUAGUGUAUAUGAUAGUGCAAAUGAUAAUAAUAUAUAUGAUGAUAGUACACAUGUUAAGAAGGACAUGAAAAAACGUCACACGUUGACAAAUGGUGAGCAUAUACAGGGUGCUAAUGUAGAAUGUACACAUAAUGAACGUAUUAACCAGUUACCUAAACACAAAUCUGUUAAUGCUCAAUGUUUAUAUAAUGAUAAUACAUUUUUACUAAAUGUUGACAAUAUUGACAGUGAAAAAGCUGUACAAAAUAACAACUUUAUAUGUACCAGUAACAGUAUGGAUAAUAUGAUAAGUAACGAUAUGGUAGAUGGUAGUAUAGUACCUAAUGUAUCAGAAGUUAAAUAUGGGCAGGACAACGGAAGCAACAACAACAGUAAAAACAGCGACAGUAAAAGUAGCGACAGUAAAAUUAGCGACAGUAAAAGUAGCGACAGUAAAAUUAGCGACAGUAAAAUUAGCGAAGGUAAAAUUAGCGACAGUAAAAUUAGAGACAGUAAAAUUAGCGACAGUAAAAUUAGCGACAGUAAAAGUAACAAUAACGAAACUACUUACGAAGCCAACAGCAAAGCCGCUAGCGAAAGUGCCAGUACUAACGAAGCCAAAACAGGAACUAAUGCAAAUAUCCAUGUAGACUUAGGAACACAAAUUCCUAUUUACCCAAACGAAUACAAAAAGAUAAAAAAAAAAUUAGAAACAUAUGAAUUUAUAAUCAAUGAGGAAAAAAAAAAUCAAAAAAAAAUGUUAGAAGAAAUAAAUUAUUUAAGAAACCAAGUAAAAAAUUAUGAAUCAUUAUGCGGUAAUUAUGAACAUAUAAUGUACCAAAAAAAUAUUAUUUUUAAUUUUGUGUCACAAAUACCUAAUAAUAUUAAAAUUGACGAUUAUGUUUCGGUUAUUUAUAAUUCGUUUAAUUUUUCCUCUAAAGAAAUUGAAAUGAUAAAUGAAAAGCGUUCGAAAAAGUAAUUGUUUCGUGUGUUUUGGUAAGUACGUUUGAA